GCUAUCUCUCUCUCUCUCUCUCAAAAUAAAUAAACACUAAAAAAUAAAAUUAGAAUUUAGUCACACAUGGUUAGUGGUUACCAUAUUAGCACAGAUCUAGAGCAUGUAGAAAAUGUCCAUUUAGUAUAAUGGCAUCCUGGGCUUUCAAGUUUCCUUAUUUUUGGUUGGGAAGUUGAGGCAGGUUAAAUUUGAAAUUGAUAAUGGAUAGUAUUGCUCUUAGCCAUAGAGAAAGACUUCUUUAAUGAAGAUGUGAGUUUAUCAGACUUAAAUAUAUUAGAAGUGAACUUUUUUAAGAAGGUAAAUACUCAUUCCAAAAAUAAUUCCAGUAUAAUUAAUUGAACAAAUAUUUAGAAGAUAUUUCCUGUGUAUAAAGAAUCAUACUAACUGUGGAGGUCAGAGGUGAGUGGAACUUAGGUGGUCCCCUCAAGGAGCUUUCUAUUUGAGUUUCCGAGAGGCUCUGAUAAGCCAAAGGGUGAGCUCUGUCCUUGAGCACAGAAUGCCUCGUGGGGCAUUAUCAUCAGGAUUUGUCCUCAGUGCUUUACAGGAGGACUGGGUCCAUAACAGUACGAAGAGGAACUGUUUAUAUCUGGGAAUAUAGAGUUUCAUAUCAACUCUGACAUACAAGAUUAAUUUUGGUUGAGAGAGGGUUGAGGUAGGAUUGGGAUUUCUUCAGGUGUGCAAGAAGUCCUGCUGAGUUCCAGAUAUGUUUGAGCAGGCCCUUCGGGUCUUCCCCACUUCUGGGAGAUGGACUUUCCCAGGACUCUGGAAUGCUGGAGGAAGGGACAUUGGACAUGGACCCUUCCCCACCCAUGCGCCCCCUUACCUAGGUGAGGAGGAAUUCUUGAUAAUGCUGAGUUUGGCUCAACAACCAAGCGUGUCUAAUGGAGGUAAAUAUUCCCUUAAACAGAAAUACAGAGAUUGUUAGACAAGCCAGAUUUUUAAAAGUCACAGUAAGAAUCCAGUUUUUUUCCCCCUCCCAACUGGCAAGACCCUACCUGAGUUCACUUUGCUGUGCUCUUAGUUGGAAACCCAAGGGCGAAGGAAAAGCCACAGAAAAACAGGUUGCAUCUACUGCUACUGAACAGCCACCUUACAUGCUCUGUGUUUUUAGCUAAAUAAAUCAUGAACUUAUAGCAGAGAAGUGUAUGUUCCCACCAGUCUAUGACCCAUCUACAACCCUGUGCUUCCUACUGAGCCACUAACCAGAGCUCACUGAACACUGCUUGGAGUCAGGGAACUCGGAACCCAACUGUCCUGGGCCCUCUUUCUGGCAGUUGGGUGAGUUGUGAGGGCCUGAAGGGUGAAGCUCAGACAGGCUGGAGCAGUAGGUUAUAGAUUAAGAAAGGGAGACUGUGUAAACAGUGGUGAGCUGGACACAGAGGAAUUAUUGAUCUGAUCUUAUGGUGCAGAUGUAGAAGGAGAAGAGCCCUCCUUUUCCCCUCUGCUCCCUGGGACAGGGGACUUGUGUCACGUGGACUGUGUCUUGGCGGCUGGGCCUGUCAGGAUUGAGUCAGCAGAGUUACCCAAUGCUCUGCGGUUUGUUUUUGCCAGGUCAGGGAUACAGUAGUUCUGCAGGCAGUCUCUUAUAUCUGAGACUGAGAGAAAAUGGGGAGAUGGGUUAACAGUCUUCACACGAGUGACCAGACACUAUUGGCUCAGGAUCUCAGCCAUGAAUAGUGGGAUGCUUGCCUCUCUAUGCUUGGUCCUUGGUGUCUGGCCUUGGGCCAUGAUGUCAGCCUGGCUAGGCUGGCACAUGUAGCCUGGAAUGGGUUGGCGCACAUUGCCUGGAAUGGGUUAGGCUUCUGCUUCAGACAGUAAGGAAGGGAACUGGCUAGUCCUUCCUGAAAUAGUGCCCACAGGCUGGCAGUGCACUGACUGGCACCUGCCCCUUUCAGAGGUGGGCUGGGGAUAAUUGUAGAAAUUUUUCAGUGUAUGGGUUGUGAGAGUACCCCAAGCACUGUCAGGCCAGAACAUCAGUGGAGUUUGCAAAGAAUGGGUUAACUAUUAGAAGAAAAUAUUUCCAAAAGUAAGGUAAUCCCGAGUGCAGAUGAGAAAAGAUGGGUAAAUUUGACUUUUUAAAGAUUUGGAAUGUCUGUAUCACUAAAGACAAAAAUGCAAAUAUAAUUAAAAGAUAAAUGGGAGACUGGGAGAAAAUAGGCCAUGUGUAAUAGACAAAGGAUAAAUACAGAGAAUAUAAGGAGCCUUCUGCAAAACAAUGCAAUAUUAUUUUCUCCCAUUAGAUUGGCAGAAAUUAAAAAGAUUAAUAAUCUGUUUUGAUAACUGAGGAAAAUGGGUAUCAUUUAUAUAUGGUGAAUGUAUUUGUUCAGACCUUUUUGGGAGGGCAGCUUGGCACUAUUUAUGUAAAUAAGGCCAGGUAUCUUUGAUUCAGUAAUUCUGUGUCUAGCAAUAUACACAUGUGUACACUCUCAUCCCAUCAUUGUUAGUAAUAGUUAAAAUAUGGAAUAAUUAAAUACAUGGUGGUAUAGCCAGCAUAUGGAAUAUUACGCAACACCUAAAAAAAUGUAGAUUGGUAGGCAGCUGAUGUGGGAAACUCCCCCUGAUAUAUUUUUACUGAGAAAAAUAAAUUAUAGAAAUACCACAUUCAUGUAAAAAAAAAAACUUGCAAAACUAGAUAUAUUUCUAUAUGUAUUGUAUUUUAUAGAUUCUGUAUGUGUUGUGCGUAUGAAAUCUCUGUAUAAAAUCAUUUCAAUUCAAUCCAUGCUUUUCAUGGAUUCUAAAGCAUGUUUUUCACAUGUCAACAUUUCUAAAAUCAGUAUAUCUAACAAGUGGUGGCAUGGUUUAAUAGUUAAACUUUUUUUCUUUCUUGGUGAAGCAUAAUGUAUAUUCUAAGUGAUAAGAUUAGAUUUAAUGGCCAACGAUACAUAAAUGCAUUGAUAAAGGACUCUUGGGAAGGACUGAGAUGGGAUUGAGGAGAUGUCAAUAGACACUUGACUUUACUGUAUUAUAUGUAUUAUUUGAAAAAAAAUUUUUUAACAGUGAAAAUGAAUUCCCUUCUCUGAACCAUAUCUCUCUACCUCUGACCUUAUACUUGAUACUGAGCUUCAUCUGAGAACUUUAAGGCCCAGACAGCUAAGAGAUUGUUCAGCUCCAUUAAAAAGCUAAGUAGCUUUAAGAUUCAGUGAGAGAGAAUUGUGUGCUGAGGUCCAAGGGGGAACAAGACUCUAGAGCCCAGGGCCAGUGCUCCAUCUUAACCUCCACUGUCUAUGUGAAGAGGCUGAAGGUUUCAAUCUACAAGUUGGUGCCUGGUUAGCCAGGGGUAAUUACUGCAGGGUUCCCCAUCUACCUAUUGGGGCUUCCCUCUGGCAAACCCAGUCGGUGGUAUCCCAUCCACUGUUUGGAUGAGGAAAUUGUAUGGUGAGACAGAAGA
Lynx canadensis (Canada lynx) is the source of this 3388-nucleotide long non-coding RNA. RefSeq lists it as uncharacterized. The record is from RefSeq and is a predicted model, not a curated record. The transcript is spliced from 2 exons. NCBI's taxonomy places the organism in Eukaryota, Metazoa, Chordata, Mammalia, Carnivora, Felidae.